UCAAAUACUGCUGGGUGAUAUUCUAAUGGUGUUUUCCUUUGGUGCUGCACUGAGGAAAGCAUCUGGAGAGGGUGCAGGAGGGUGAAAAAGCCAGACAUUUGCAAGUACAUAACAAACUGCACUUGAAAUUUCACACAAGAGCUUGUUGAUAUCUGCUCUGUGGGCUCUGAUGGUAGAAUGACACAUUAGAACUUGCCAGAGUCCUCACACCCGUGCUUCCACAGGCUAAGGCCCAAAUUAUUCUUCACUACUUAGGAAACUUGCUGCUUCCCAGAUAGUUGACACUUGAGUACCAAAUAAAUUUCUUUCCAGCUUCUGGGGGAAAAGGAAUCAUACUCUUGUUCCCCCAAAUCAAGUAGUCUAUCACAGCACCCCAGCUCAAAGUUGGUAUCACCCUUAAUAUUCCUUUAAUCCUGUCCAUGGUAGUUUUGCUACAGAGACCUCAUCAACCCUCAGUUUGCAUGCAAAACCAACUUGCUUCCUAUAUCCUCUUCUCUGGCAAACCCCACUGCCAACUAUUAAAAGGUAGACCCACUCGACAGCUUCCACAACCAGGCACUCUUGUGACAAAAGCCAGCGGUGUAUGAAACUCACAUACGCUGUGCCAAAGCUGGAGUAGUAAUGCAAUGCAAACACCAGGCAUGAGAGAACCACUGGAUUAUUUCUUGGAAAAAAAAGAUUUCUCCUUGAGUAGCUUUUCUUGGCAUAGCUGUCCUGAGAAGUACUCUCUCCUCCAGCUGUUCUCUGCAUCCUCAGAUAAGUGAGGUCACCUCCAGGGGUUAGCCAAGGGGUACAAAACCUAGAGGUGGCCAAGAGGCAGCAACCAUGCACAACAGUGUGGAUGAAUAAGCAGUUUGGUGCUGAGCCCUGACAGCACAG
Vidua chalybeata is the source of this 879-nucleotide long non-coding RNA. RefSeq lists it as uncharacterized. Lineage: Eukaryota; Metazoa; Chordata; Aves; Passeriformes; Viduidae. The record is from RefSeq and is a predicted model, not a curated record. The transcript is spliced from 4 exons.